This 250-nucleotide unclassified non-coding RNA is filed under the name plant metagenome. RNAcentral describes it as "partial contains small subunit ribosomal RNA, internal transcribed spacer 1, and 5.8S ribosomal RNA". The record is from RNAcentral.
GUAGGUGAACCUGCGGAAGGAUCAUUAACGAGUUAGGGUCUUCUAGGCCUGACCUCCCAACCCUAUGUUUAUUAAACCUCUGUUGCUUCGGCGGACCCGUCUCACGACCGCCGGAGGACCGCCGCGAGGCGUCCUCUGGCCAGCGUCCGCCGAUGGCCAACCACUUAAACUCUGAAUAAAUCGUGUUAUUAUGUCUAAGUCUAUGAUUAAAUUAAAGCAAAACUUUCAACAACGGAUCUCUUGGUUCUGG